Molecule: ribosomal RNA, 497 nt
Filed under: uncultured bacterium
Lineage: Bacteria
Description: partial 16S ribosomal RNA
Rfam family: Bacterial small subunit ribosomal RNA
Source: RNAcentral
GAUGAACGCUGGCGGCGUGCCUAAUACAUGCAAGUCGAGCGAACGGACGAGAGGCUUGCUUCUCUGAUGUUAGCGGCGCACGGGUGAGUAACACGUGGAUAACCUACCUAUAAGACUGGGAUAACUUCGGGAAACGGGAGCUACUACCGGAGAAUAUCUUGAACCGCAGGGUUCAAAAGUGAAAGCCGGUCUUGCUGUCACUUAUAGAUGGAUCAGCGCUGCAUUAGCUAGUUGGUAAGGUAAAGGCUUACCAAGGCAACGAUGCGUAGCCGGCCUGAGAGGACGAUCGGCCACACUGGAACUGAGACACGGCCCAGACUCCUACGGGAGGCAGCAGUAGGGAAUCUUGCGCAAUGGGCGAAAGCCUGAUCGAGCAACGCCGCGUGAGUGAUGAAGGUCUUCGGAUUGUAAAGCACUGUUGUCAGGGAAGAACACAUGUGUACGUAUCCGUGCAGAGCUUGACGGUACCUAAUCAGAAAGCCCCGGCUAACUACGUG